ACUCCUGCGGGAGGCAGCAGUGGGGAAUAUUGGACAAUGGGCGCAAGCCUGAUCCAGCCAUGCCGCGUGAGUGAUGAAGGCCCUAGGGUUGUAAAGCUCUUUCACCGGUGAAGAUAAUGACGGUAACCGGAGAAGAAGCCCCGGCUAACUUCGUGCCAGCAGCCGCGGUAAUACGAAGGGGGCUAGCGUUGUUCGGAUUUACUGGGCGUAAAGCGCACGUAGGCGGACUAUUAAGUCAGGGGUGAAAUCCCGGGGCUCAACCCCGGAACUGCCUUUGAUACUGGUAGUCUUGAGUUCGAGAGAGGUGAGUGGAAUUCCGAGUGUAGAGGUGAAAUUCGUAGAUAUUCGGAGGAACACCAGUGGCGAAGGCGGCUCACUGGCUCGAUACUGACGCUGAGGUGCGAAAGCGUGGGGAGCAAACAGGAUUAGAAACCCUUGUAGUCCCAUGA
Molecule: ribosomal RNA, 449 nt
Filed under: uncultured organism
Description: partial 16S ribosomal RNA
Rfam family: Bacterial small subunit ribosomal RNA
Source: RNAcentral